RNAcentral lists this ribosomal RNA (194 nucleotides) under uncultured bacterium. RNAcentral describes it as "partial 16S ribosomal RNA". It matches the Rfam family "Bacterial small subunit ribosomal RNA", at positions 338 to 524 of the family's 1533-position model. The record is from RNAcentral. RNAcentral also lists the same sequence under 3 other names.
CCUACGGGAGGCAGCAGUGGGGAAUAUUGGACAAUGGGCGAAAGCCUGAUCCAGCCAUGCCGCGUGUGUGAAGAAGGUCUUCGGAUUGUAAAGCACUUUAAGUUGGGAGGAAGGGCAGUUACCUAAUACGUGAUUGUUUUGACGUUACCGACAGAAUAAGCACCGGCUAACUCUGUGCCAGCAGCCGCGGUAAU